GCAUUAUUAAAUUAGCACUUGCCAUUUUUUCAUCUGAUUGCCUUACUACUUCUAGAAGUGAGGCCCUCACUCCUGGUGCUGAUUUUCAAAACUUCCUAAGGACCAGAGACUGCAAAUGCAGAUUUUGGCAAUCCCUUUCCUGCUGUGUCUCUAUGUAGGUGUACUGUUGGUGGCUGACCCCCCCUGGAGGUCACCCUGAAGCUUCCUGGUUGGCUGGGGGGUGCUCUCUCCACUGUUUUUGUUUGUUUUGAGGAUGAGCGCACUGCCUGGUCCCUUCCCCAUUGCACAAGCCGGGGCAGUCACGAGGAGCUUGGGCUGCCUCACCGCCCUCAUCAAGCACAGGGCCGCCACGAGCUCAUCAGCUGAGACCCAGCCUAGCCUUUUUGUGUUUUUUGUGAAGCAAAUUUCCAAUUAAGCAAAAGAAGCUAAAAAUAAUGAUCAUGUUUUUGUGCCAGAUGCAGUUAGCGAUCACAGUCUGCCAUUAAGUUGAAGAGUAAGUGAGCUCUCCCAGCGGAGAAUGAGGUUACUAAGGAUCACAGCAGCUGCAUUUUCAUUUGGUUCUGAAAUUCUUGGAAUACAUUUCAGACUUUGCUGGGAAGCAGAAGCAAAGAGCCGUGCACCGAGUUGAAUCGAUGCUGACAAUUAUCAGAUGGAGAUUCGUUGGAAAGGGCCCUGUUCUGCUUCCGCCUUCACCCAGCAUGGGCUGGGCGCAUCUUGGAGCCCCAGGGCUCUCAAACCUAGGCCCACCCUGCUCCGUCCCCCUUAUCUGUUCUCCCGGGGGUUGUAGCGCAGCCCGUGCGGCCCCUCGGAGUCGUAGCUGUCAUGGUGCGGGAGCUGGGCCCACUCCGGCGGGAAGGUGGCCCUGCUGUACACGAAGCACUGCACCGCGGUGGGCGCUGGCGGCUCCUCUGCGCCCGGGGCCCGGUCCUCCAGCAGCUGUACCCGCAGCACCGUGCGCUGAUACAGGGCCGGGCAACUCUCGAAGUCAUCCAGAAAGCGCAGCAUCCGCUCGUCUACCGCGUAGACCUCGCCCUCCACGCGGCGCCCCGAGCCGGGCAGGUGCAGCAGCCACGGGAUGUUGUGCUCCCCCGCGAUCACCAACGGGUAGGGCUCCAGCGUGCGGCCGCGCGCCCGAAAGGCUGCGGAGCCGUGGGCGCAGUCCCGCAGGACCCUGUGGUUGGGCUGACCCCGCUUCAGGGUGCCGUACACGAAGACUAGGGCCAUCCGGGCAGAGCUGCGGGGAGAGGGGAAGCCACAGGUCAGCCCGCAGUGGGAGCUCUGUGUCUGCACCUGGGACGUGGCUCCCGGCCCACAGAGCCUCCACUGGGGCCGCACCACCUGAAUGCGCCUGGCUGUGCUCAGAUAAGGCGUUACUUACCGACGCAGAUGAGAAUGGCCUACAGUUUUCACACAUCAUGAGAUAUUUUGACUUUCGGCCAUUUAAACAUGUGAAAGCCAUUCCUAGCUUGUGGGCUGUUCACAAACGGGCACCAGGUCGGCUCUAACCUGUGGGCAUGGUGUUUUUGGGUUUGCCAAUCCCUAGGCUAGAGAAAGGGGCACACAUUGGUGACUUCCUUGAUGUGUCUGUAGCAGACAGGACACCUGCGUUCUGGGCAGGAGUACCGUGCCCUCAGCCUCCCCACACCACCUGGAUGGACUAAUGUUCCUCAGCCCUGCAGGGGCAGCCCUGCCUCGCCUGCACAGGCCACCCUUCUCUGAGGAACACAGUCCUGA
RNAcentral lists this long non-coding RNA (1734 nucleotides) under Pan troglodytes (chimpanzee). RNAcentral's name for it is "long non-coding RNA NONPTRT004348". Lineage: Eukaryota; Metazoa; Chordata; Mammalia; Primates; Hominidae. The record is from RNAcentral.